This 424-nucleotide ribosomal RNA is filed under the name uncultured bacterium. Its description in RNAcentral is "bacterial SSU rRNA". It matches the Rfam family "Bacterial small subunit ribosomal RNA", at positions 358 to 773 of the family's 1533-position model. The record is from RNAcentral.
GGAAUUUUGGGCAAUGGGCGCAAGCCUGACCCAGCAACGCCGCGUGAGGGAUGAAGGCCUUCGGGUCGUAAACCUCUGUCAGGAGGGAAGAACGACCUCCGGGCGAACAGUCCGGGGGAGUGACGGUACCUCCAAAGGACGCGCCGGCUAACUCCGUGCCAGCAGCCGCGGUAAUACGGAGGGCGCAAGCGUUGUUCGGAAUCACUGGGCGUAAAGCGCGUGCAGGCAGCUUGGCAAGUCGGGUGUGAAAUCCCGGGGCUCAACCCCGGAACUGCAUCCGAUACUGUCUCGCUAGAGUCCCGGAGAGGAAGGCGGAAUUCCCGGUGUAGAGGUGAAAUUCGUAGAUAUCGGGAGGAACACCAGUGGCGAAGGCGGCCUUCUGGACGGUGACUGACGCUCAGACGCGAAAGCGUGGGGAGCAAAC